GAUGAACGCUGGCGGCGUGCCUAAUACAUGCAAGUCGAGCGAACAGACGAGGAGCUUGCUCCUCUGACGUUAGCGGCGGACGGGUGAGUAACACGUGGAUAACCUACCUAUAAGACUGGGAUAACUUCGGGAAACCGGAGCUAAUACCGGAUAAUAUAUUGAACCGCAUGGUUCAAUAGUGAAAGACGGUUUUGCUGUCACUUAUAGAUGGAUCCGCGCCGCAUUAGCUAGUUGGUAAGGUAACGGCUUACCAAGGCAACGAUGCGUAGCCGACCUGAGAGGGUGAUAGGCCACACUGGAACUGAGACACGGUCCAGACUCCUACGGGAGGCAGCAGUAGGGAAUCUUCUGCAAUGGGCGAAAGCCUGACGGAGCAACGCCGCGUGAGUGAUGAAGGUCUUCGGAUCGUAAAACUCUGUUAUUAGGGAAGAACAAAUGUGUAAGUAACUAUGCACGUCUUGACGGUACCUAAUCAGAAAGCCACGGCUAACUACGUG
This 497-nucleotide ribosomal RNA is filed under the name uncultured bacterium. RNAcentral describes it as "partial 16S ribosomal RNA". It matches the Rfam family "Bacterial small subunit ribosomal RNA", at positions 28 to 507 of the family's 1533-position model. The record is from RNAcentral.